UAAGAUCCAAAAGAUGAAUAGAAAGAAUCUUGGAAGACUUGUAUCAUGACCCACUGUAUUUUUUAUAGUUUAUAGGAAUAACAAGCUUCCACCUGCUUCUGACAGGAAAAAAAAGAGGGAAAUAGCUGUUUUGUUACCAAAAGAAAUGUAUACGUUUGACUGUAAACUUGGGAUUUAACUACAAUGCUGGUCAAAAUGCACUGGAUGCACACUCAUCCAGAAUCCAAACACUCAUCCAGAAUCCAAAAACAGAAGAAAGAGGAGGAAGGUCUCCAAAGUAAUUUCAUUACACAUCCCAAGUUACCUGAAGUAAGCAGAGAGAACUAAUCUCAUAGAACUGUAGCCUACACUUUGAGCAGCAAACACAUCUCUACUUUUCCCAACAAGAGAACUGCAAAUGUCCAGCACCUCCAGGGUCUGUAUCUUGUUCAGCUCCAGCCUGCUGACACACUGAUGAACAGCAUCUGCCAAUUCAAAGCAGCUCUGACCAGACUGACUUGAUGCAAUCUGGCAACCUUAAUCAUCUUAAGCUGUCCUCUGGAAUACCUGUUCUGCAUCUCAAAGUGCCUUUUCCACACAAGUAAAAAUGAUUUUUUUCUAGCUGUGUGGUCCCUUGGCUAAAAUGAAAAACAUUCCUGGAAGAGUUUUGACAUUGCAGUGAUAAGGAGUAAGGAGUAAGAAGAGGUUAGAGAACACCGACUGCAGCAGGGGUAACACUUGUUAGCAACAAAAGCUCAGCCUCAGGAAUGGAACAGAAGAAGCUGAUAAUGAAAAGAUGGGAGUCAAGUGGGAGGAGAAGAACUCUGACUAAUACUCCUGAUUAACUGAGAGGGGAUACUGGAAGACAAGUGUGAUGAUGAAAAAAGGUGCAGGAACUAAAUGGGUUAGAGGCAGACUCUCACUGCUGUAGUGUGAACUCACAGGUAAAUGCUUGUUCCCAGCAUCCUGGGAAAUGGGAAUGUAACAUCCAUUUAGCUGCCUACUAUGAGCACUUUGUAUCCAAGCAAAGGCAUUAGGAGUAAUACUUUUGAAGUAAUUAUCUCAGGAUUUAUUGACAGAGAUCAUAUAAAAUUAUUCAGGUCAUGAUUUAAAAUGCUUGCCAAAUGGGCAAAACAAAAAAAUUAAAAUGGAAAAGGAAAGAAUGUAAUUAAGAACUGCCCUUCAUAAAACAA
Molecule: long non-coding RNA, 1172 nt
Organism: Passer domesticus (house sparrow)
Lineage: Eukaryota; Metazoa; Chordata; Aves; Passeriformes; Passeridae
Exons: 3
Source: RefSeq, a predicted model, not a curated record